RNAcentral lists this ribosomal RNA (401 nucleotides) under Pichia manshurica. RNAcentral describes it as "eukaryotic LSU rRNA". The stretch from base 66 to 218 matches the Rfam family "5.8S ribosomal RNA". The record is from RNAcentral. Lineage: Eukaryota; Fungi; Ascomycota; Pichiomycetes; Pichiales; Pichiaceae.
UGCGUGAGCGCACAAAACACAUAAACCGUGAGUAAUUUUAGUCGAAACUUGAAAAAAAAAUACAAAACUUUCAACAACGGAUCUCUUGGUUCUCGCAUCGAUGAAGAGCGCAGCGAAAUGCGAUACCUAGUGUGAAUUGCAGCCAUCGUGAAUCAUCGAGUUCUUGAACGCACAUUGCGCCCGUCGGUAUUCCGGCGGGCAUGCCUGUCUGAGCGUCGUUUCCUUCUUGGAACUUUUGUUAAAGAAAGAUCCAGAGCUGGCCGUGCCACUGGCCCGGCCGAAAAGAAACGUUGCGGACGAAGCGAACUACAUCGGGACGCUUUGGCCGCCGAGCGAAAAUAUCAUUGAGCUCGACCUCAGAUCAGGUAGGAGUACCCGCUGAACUUAAGCAUAUCAAUAAG